This is a non-coding RNA of Marasmius tenuissimus, 103 nucleotides long. The record is from the annotation of a GenBank genome assembly. Lineage: Eukaryota; Fungi; Basidiomycota; Agaricomycetes; Agaricales; Marasmiaceae.
GGUUCGAUGGCGUAGUUGGUUAUCGCAUCUGUCUAACAUUCUCGCUUUCCUAGGUGUGUGGCUGUUACACAGAAGGUCCCCAGUUCGAGCCUGGGUCGAAUCA